This 735-nucleotide ribosomal RNA is filed under the name uncultured archaeon. RNAcentral describes it as "bacterial SSU rRNA". It matches the Rfam family "Archaeal small subunit ribosomal RNA", at positions 124 to 859 of the family's 1478-position model. The record is from RNAcentral.
GGAUAACCCUGGGAAACUGGGGAUAAUACUGGAUAGGCAAUUUUUCCUGUAAUGGUUUUUUGUUUAAAUGUUUUUUCGCCUAAGGAUGGGUCUGCGGCCGAUUAGGUAGUUGGUUAGGUAAUGGCUUACCAAGCCGUUGAUCGGUACGGGUUGUGAGAGCAAGAGCCCGGAGAUGGAACCUGAGACAAGGUUCCAGGCCCUACGGGGUGCAGCAGGCGCGAAACCUCCGCAAUGUGAGAAAUCGCGACGGGGGGAUCCCAAGUGCCAUUCUUAACGGGAUGGCUUUUCAUUAGUGUAAAGAGCUUUUGGAAUAAGGGCUGGGCAAGACCGGUGCCAGCCGCCGCGGUAACACCGGCAGCUCUAGUGGUAGCAGUUUUUAUUGGGCCUAAAGCGUCCGUAGCCGGUUUAAUAAGUCUCUGGUGAAAUCCUGUAGCUUAACUGUGGGAAUUGCUGGAGAUACUAUUAGACUUGAGACCGGGAGAGGUUAGAGGUACUCCCAGGGUAGAGGUGAAAUUCUGUAAUCCUGGGAGGACCGCCUGUUGCGAAGGCGUCUAACUGGAACGGUUCUGACGGUGAGGGACGAAAGUUAGGGGCGCGAACCGGAUUAGAUACCCGGGUAGUCCUAACUGUAAACGAUGCGGACUUGGUGUUGGGGUGGCUUUGAGCUGCUCCAGUGCCGAAGGGAAGCUGUUAAGUCCGCCGCCUGGGAAGUACGGUCGCAAGACUGAAACUUAA